UCAAAUUAAUUUACUGAUAGAAUCUAAGUGCAGAAAGCACAUAGAUUACGAACGAGAGAGACAAAAAUCGAUCUAAGUGCAACUAAUGAAAAUUAAAAGUUACAAUAUUAUAAUUCAUUCUUCCUAUAAUAUAUUUAGAGUGGGGCAACAUAGAAAGCAACCCGGUCAACAUAAAAUCCAAACACAAACAUAACAAACCGAAUCGAACAUGGCGUGCUCAGAAGAUACACAUUUGGUUGCGGAAUAUUGAAAAAAAAAAAACUCUUCCAUACGUGGUGCUCCGUCGCCCGAGUCGCUUGCUGUUUUUGAAGAAUUACACUUCAUGGUCGCCGCUCCUUCACCGUCACCAAGGACGAACGCGUGGACGAUUUGGGAUCCUGCCGGGAUCCUGGGAGCUGCCGGAUCCUAGACUGAAUAAGGCUGCGAUGAGGAUGUGCUUUUUUAUCAGUUUGGUAGGGGAACGUCCAUAAAUUACGUCACGCAAAAAUCGACCAUUUUCAACCCCCCCUCCCCCCUAUGUCACACUUUUUGUAUUGGACCUCUGAAAUUUUUGUAUGGGUCGUCACACUUUGCUGAACCCCCCCUCCCCCCUCAA
Long non-coding RNA from Aedes albopictus (Asian tiger mosquito), 595 nucleotides. RefSeq lists it as uncharacterized. The transcript is spliced from 3 exons. The record is from RefSeq and is a predicted model, not a curated record. NCBI's taxonomy places the organism in Eukaryota, Metazoa, Arthropoda, Insecta, Diptera, Culicidae.